Molecule: ribosomal RNA, 490 nt
Filed under: uncultured bacterium
Lineage: Bacteria
Description: partial 16S ribosomal RNA
Rfam family: Bacterial small subunit ribosomal RNA
Source: RNAcentral
AUUGAACGCUGGCGGCAGGCCUAACACAUGCAAGUCGAAUGGUAACAGGAAACAGCUUGCUGUUUCGCUGACGAGUGGCGGACGGGUGAGUAAUGUCUGGGAAACUGCCUGAUGGAGGGGGAUAACUACUGGAAACGGUAGCUAAUACCGCAUAACGUCGCAAGACCAAAGAGGGGGACCUUCGGGCCUCUUGCCAUCAGAUGUGCCCAGAUGGGAUUAGCUAGUAGGUGGGGUAACGGCUCACCCAGGCGACGAUCCCUAGCUGGUCUGAGAGGAUGACCAGCCACACUGGAACUGACACACGGUCCAGACUCCUACGGGAGGCAGCAGUGGGGAAUAUUGCACAAUGGGCGCAAGCCUGAUGCAGCCAUGCCGCGUGUAUGAAGAAGGCCUUCGGGUUGUAAAGUACUUUCAGCGGGGAGGAAGGGAGUAAAGUUAAUACCUUUGCUCAUUGACGUUACCCGCAGAAGAAGCACCGGCUAACUCCGUG